UGUCCAGGGCACGUGUCCUUCUCCACCUAUCACCCCAAACAGGCUCGUGAGCUGGACAUGGCAGGCAUCAUUUACCUUGAUAACUACGUCCACGAAGCCCAGAUCAUCAUCACUGGACACAGGCGUGUAAGCCCUGACCACCAAGACACCGUCGGUUUUGGCCAAGAGGUGAACAGAGUUCAUGCUCUUCAAUGCCAACGGGAGCGCCGCGACCCCAACGACAGGGACGGGUCCUACUGGACACAACGUGAGCAGGGUGGCUCGGGUCCUGCCGGCCCUGCAGGAUGGCUCUCGGGCACGGCGGCACCCUCCCCAUGCCAAAGGCACGCAUGAAGCUGUUCUGAAAGAAACUAGGCGGAGGUAAAUAUACUAAAACAGGAGGCGGGCGGAGUCUACGGUGGACCCGGCGGGUUGGGAGGGGCCGGCUGCAGAUCAGACUAAAGGAGACGUUUCAGCUUCCCAGGCAGACGGCCCGGGAGUGCUAAUGCCACCAGGCCUUUGCUGCCAUCUGUCUCCAUCCUGGCUACGGCCAAGGGUGCAAGCCCUGAAAGUCACCCUUUGAGGUGAGGGGGUGAGGACAUUGCUCUUAAUACACAAUUCGGGAUGAAGACGCCAACCCCCAGGGGCAGAGCUGGGGGACGAGCUGCUGAGAGCCAGGAGGGAUGGGGCUUGCCUCCCCCGGCGCCCUUCUGAGUCUGGUGGGGGCAGGAGUGGGGUGGGGUGGGUACCUCUGUAGCCAGAGCUGUUCUUGGCUCAAAUCCCAUCAACCCCCACUGGCAGCAGGGUCCUUGCUGAAAAUUUCCACCACCACCCCCCCCCCCCCCCCCCCCCGCCACAGCUUUAGCAGAAGGAAACAUAAAUCUUUAAGAAUCCAAAGAUAAGAAAGGAAGCUACUGGGAGUUCCCGUCGUGGCUCAAUGGUUAACAAAUCUGACCAGGAACCAUGAUGUUGCGGGUUCAAUCCCUGGCCUCGCCCAGUGGGUAAAGGAUCCGGCGUUGCCGUGAGCUGUGGUGUAUGUGCAGACGAGGCUCAGAUCCCAUGUUGCUGUGGCUCUGGCGUAGGCUGGUGGCUACAGCUCCAAUUGGACCCCUAGCCUGGGAACAUCCAUAUGCUGCGGGAGNAAAAAAAAAAAAAAAAAAAAAAAAAAAAGAAAGAAAGGAAGCUACACACAAGCAAAAAUCCAGCUGGGACCAAGAUGGCCUCAAAUCUGACCUCCGACAGACCUUGAGUCUCAUCAUACCUUGAUUUUCCUCCAGUAACAGGUUAGAAGACACACCUACCAGUGGCGGCCACCAGGUAUCAAGGACCAAAUAAGGAUAAAAAGGGGUGGCACCCCACUCCCUGGAAAGUCCUGCCCCUUCCAGGGCUGGCACAGGCAGCCCUGGUGUGGACAUUUUUUAGUAUCUCUUAUGCAGAAUAAAGCUUAUGCUUCCUCAUCA
Molecule: long non-coding RNA, 1439 nt
Filed under: Sus scrofa (pig)
Lineage: Eukaryota; Metazoa; Chordata; Mammalia; Artiodactyla; Suidae
Description: lncRNA (ENSSSCG00035000727.1)
Source: RNAcentral